This 137-nucleotide ribosomal RNA is filed under the name uncultured Fusobacterium sp. Its description in RNAcentral is "partial 16S ribosomal RNA". It matches the Rfam family "Bacterial small subunit ribosomal RNA", at positions 776 to 916 of the family's 1533-position model. The record is from RNAcentral. Lineage: Bacteria; Fusobacteriati; Fusobacteriota; Fusobacteriia; Fusobacteriales; Fusobacteriaceae.
GAUUAGAGACCCUGGUAGUCCAUGCCCUAAACGAUGUUCACUUGAUGUCUGCCCUCAGGGUAGGUGUCGAAGCUAACGCGAUAAGUGAACCACCUGGGGAGUACGCUCGCAAGGGUGAAACUCAAAGGAAUUGACGG